GUGGGGAAUAUUGCGCAAUGGGGGAAACCCUGACGCAGCGACGCCGCGUGAGCGAAGAAGGCCUUAGGGUUGUAAAGCUCUGUUUUAAGGGACGAAUGUCGUGGGGAGUAAUAUGCUCUGCGAAUGACGGUACCUUAAGAGGAAGCCCCGGCUAACUACGUGCCAGCAGCCGCGGUAAGACGUAGGGGGCGAGCGUUGUCCGGAAUUACUGGGCGUAAAGAGCACGUAGGCGGGAACUUCAGUCAGGUGUGAAAGACCGGGGCUCAACUCCGGGGUUGCACUUGAAACUGGGUUUCUUGAGGGCAGGAGAGGAAAGCAGAAUUCCUGGUGUAGCGGUGAAAUGCGUAGAAAUCAGGAGGAAUACCAGUGGCGAAGGCGGCUUUCUGGACUGACCCUGACGCUGAGGUGCGAAAGCGUGGGUAGCAAACAGGAUUAGAAACCCGGGUAGUCC
Molecule: ribosomal RNA, 451 nt
Filed under: uncultured bacterium
Lineage: Bacteria
Description: partial 16S ribosomal RNA
Rfam family: Bacterial small subunit ribosomal RNA
Source: RNAcentral